UACAGAGGUCUCAAGCGUUGUUCGGAUUCAUUGGGCGUAAAGGGUGCGUAGGCGGCGCGGUAAGUCGGGUGUGAAAUCUUGGAGCUUAACUCCGAAACUGCAUUCGAUACUGCCGUGCUUGAGGACUGGAGAGGAGACUGGAAUUUACGGUGUAGCGGUGAAAUGCGUAGAUAUCGGGAGGAACACCGGUGGCGAAGGCGGCCUUCUGGACGGAUACUGACGCUGAUACGCGAAAGCGUGGGGAGCAAACAGG
RNAcentral lists this ribosomal RNA (253 nucleotides) under uncultured bacterium. RNAcentral describes it as "partial 16S ribosomal RNA". It matches the Rfam family "Bacterial small subunit ribosomal RNA", at positions 524 to 776 of the family's 1533-position model. The record is from RNAcentral.